UCACCGGAUUCCCCGAAUCUCAGCCUCUCACUCCUUGAGAUAUCAGCUUACCCCCUCCUCGCACCUUCCUCCCUCCUGUUGGGGGCAGGCGGCUGCGAGGCAGUCCUUCCAGACCAUUGUUUUCAACGGUCCCAGGGGUGAUCGUAAUUUUUCCUAAUUAAAGAUGUUAUUUUUCUUAAAAGGCUACCAUCUCUCAUUUCAUGGAAGAAAGAAGAUGAACUAUAGAAGAAGAAAGGACAUAUACACUCUGAAUGAGAGCUGGCGCCCCCAAGAAGGGGCGGAUGGCAACCUUACACCGCAGAGCCGUGUGAUCAAACUUUAAGUCAUAGAUGUUUGUGACAAAUUAUUAUACAGCUUGAAAUGUUAAUGAACUGGGAUAACUGGUCAUAUGUGGUCUCAGAUGUUUGUUUUGCCCUUCCGCUAAUUGUGAUCUAUGACCGGGAUACCAAAUUCACUUCUCAAUUGCUUUAUUGCCAGAUGGGAAGCAAACACCUCUUGUGUUUAGACACCUUAAUGAAAUCUAAGUGUCUUUUAGACUCUGCGGUAUGCAGUGCUGUUUUUCAUAAGAUACUUUCAAUGCCAUUCUAUUCAUAUUUCUAAUACCAAGAAUAUUUUUAAAUCAAAACUUUUUUCUAGUAAUAGACCACAUUUUUAAAAUCAGAAUUUCUUUCCCCCCAAAACCCAAGCUUGUAUGUGUGUGUGUGGUUUUCAUAACAUCUUUAUGAAGAACAUCACCACAUACUUAAACUAUGACUCACACUGAUGAAUUUAAUAAAUCUAACUGGGCUCCAUGAACUGUCAUAUUUUCCGAUCAAACAGUACAGUUCUCUGUCGGCAGGCUGAAUAUUAUCCAGGUUGUGCCCUUCUGUGUAAUUAAUAUCAACAGUCCUUAUUGCCUUGCUGUAUUUUCUGCUCCCCACGAACAGCACAAAAGUGGCUCCAUAAUCUGGGUAGGUGUGAAACCGGAGGCAGCAGGACAUUCGAGGUGACUGCUGGCGGCCGCAGGAACUCACAGCUCCCUGCUGACGGCAGACCUGAGGCUUGUCUGGCAUCCCUUCUCCAACUGAAUCCAUGGGACAGCGGUCACCGCACUGCCCCCAGCCCCGACCAGGACCGCACUGCCCACCGCUGCUAUGAGAGGAGACAUGCCUUGUCGCAUCCAGGGACACGGCUCAGCCCCCCAAAACGGCAGCCAGCCGUCAGGAAUGCGUGUGUCGUGGGUGGUGCUCUCACCGCCCAGCACAGCUAGAGGAGAGCCAAGAAUCUGCUAACGGAAGGACAGUUUCACAUUUUGUUUUUUUUUCUGUUUUCAUGCCUGGUGAUAUUUACUUUGGGAUCAUAGAGGAUGGUAAACGGUUGGAAUUGGGAAAUAAUGACAAAGUGAUUCUGAAACCAGGCAGCAUCUUAGAGUUGACAAAGCUGCUGCCAUGUGAGUUAGGCAACAGGGUGCAUUUAAUUAAAUGUGGUGCUUUGGGAAGGAAAUUACGAUGUCAGGGUUUUUAAGACGUUUCCCACAGAGUAGUUUAUGACUUUUACAAAUGCAAAAAUAUAAAAGAUGCAGAAAAUUCCUAACUGAAAAUAACGUUUCACAUAUAUGCACGACAGAGGAUGAGAUGGCUGGGUGGCAUCACCGACUCAGACAUGAGUUUGGGUAAACUCCGUGAGCUGGUGAUGGAAAGGGAGGCCUGGCGUGCUGCGAUUCAUGGGGUCACAAAGAGUCGGACAGGACUGAGCGACUGAACUGAACUGAACUGAUGUGUAAAAAAAGAGGAAGUAUGUUUGGAAGAAUAGUAAUAAGGCAAACAUGCAGCCUAUAAGGAGAGAGCUGCAAGAUUUCCACUACACGCCCUUUUAAAAUAAUGCACAACACGGGAGAGGAAUCCGACAAACACAUGUACACGUAUAACUGACUUUGCUGCACGGCAAAAAGUAACACAACACUGUAAAUCAACUACACUCCCCAAAUAAAAAUUUUUAAAAAGAAAUACAAACUACUAGAUACAAAAUAAAAAAUGUAUUAAUACAAGGAAGUAAUGUUAUAGCAUAUGGAAUAUAGCCAAUAUUUUAUAAUAGCUUUACAUAGAGCAUAAUCUGUAAAAUACUGAAUCGCUAUGUUGUACACUUGAAACUAACAUAAUACUGUAGAUUAACUAUAUUGAAUUAAAAAAAAUAGUG
Molecule: long non-coding RNA, 2175 nt
Organism: Bubalus bubalis (water buffalo)
Lineage: Eukaryota; Metazoa; Chordata; Mammalia; Artiodactyla; Bovidae
Exons: 2
Source: RefSeq, a predicted model, not a curated record